GAUUGCUGUUUUCAAUUGAGGACUUGAGUUAAACAUCUUGUGUGAUGACAAGGAGGGCCGGAUUGCGAUAUUUAGUUGAGGUCACUUACCAAGAAGUACAAGUAUGAAAAUGAAAGCUUUGAUCAUCAUGAUGAUGCCCUCCCGUCUUGGGCUUUCCCUAAAGAAAUGACGACAAAACAACAACAAAAAGAAAAACACUUCAAGGUGGCCAUCAUCUUCUUGAUCUCCGCUAUGGCUUUCCCCGGGUUCAGGCCCUGUGAGGACGCCACACACGCGGCAGGGUUGAAGUCUCGAGCUGCCCGUUCGCGGAGGGUCGGCGGCGGCGCGCGUUACCUUGGGGCACGUCUUGGUGCAGUUCAUGAUGGUGUGACAGCGGUAAAGAGAAAACGGAUCCUGGAGCUUGGACAGGCGCUCCUCCGUGAAGUCGUCCCGCGAGUCGAUCAUCCAACGAUGUUCCACGCUGUGCGGCACGGUGCUGUAGCUGGAAAAGCGUUGGCCUCACAGUUCUAAGGACCUGGAUUCGAUCCCGGCCCCGCCUGUGUGGAGUUUGCAUGUUCUCCCCUUGCCUGCCUGGGCUUUCUCCGGGCACUCCGGUUUCCUCCCACAUCCCAAAAACUAAAUUGCCCCUCGGUGUGAUUGUUUCGUGUUGUUUGUCUCUCCGUGCCCUGCGACUGGCUGGCGACCAGUUCAGGGUGUACCCCGCCUCCUCCCUGUUGACAGCUGGGAGAGGCUCCAGCAAACCCCGCCACCCUCGUGAGGAUAAGCAGCAAAAAAAAAUGGAUGGAUGUUUCACUCUCCCCCCAGAAAAAUUUAAAACUUUGUAAUGUUUUUUUUUUAUAUUAAAGUAAUAUUGUACUUACUUCUUGGCAUUUUUUUUUGCAUCAAUUCAAAGGUAAUUGUGCUGCUCCUUCAAGUGUGCGCAUCUUGGCCAUUAGGGGCAGUAGCAUAGAGCCAGAGAGACAAAGAAGUGUUUCACAACUGACUUUAACUUUACUUAAAAAGAUAAAUCAUGCAAUUAUUGUUAUAGGUUGCUGUCUACAAGUUCGGCACCACCAAAUAUUGUCGCUUAAAUAGUUUCACAAAUGCUAUUCAUCAGGCAUUUCCUUGUAUGCGUGUGCAUUAAGGUAGCAAAAUUAUGUGGUUAUUUAACCGGCACAUUGUGUUCAGUUUGAUGAUCGACUUAACUGGGAGUUAAGCAACUUGAAGCCUCAAUUUGGAAAUAUAUUUCCCCGUGUGUCAAACUGCUGCGUGUUGUGAAGUGAGUAGAAUUAAGUUCUCCGCCGCCAACAGUCACUCGUAGCUCAAAUUUUUGCCGGCAAAUCAGGGCAACAAAAAAACUCUUAAUUCGGGUCACCGGUAUCUCGAGGCACACCUGUUUUUAAUAGGCUCGGGAGUGCGUAU
Molecule: long non-coding RNA, 1401 nt
Organism: Syngnathoides biaculeatus (alligator pipefish)
Lineage: Eukaryota; Metazoa; Chordata; Actinopteri; Syngnathiformes; Syngnathidae
Exons: 3
Source: RefSeq, a predicted model, not a curated record